This 28-nucleotide small RNA is filed under the name Bombyx mori (domestic silkworm). Its description in RNAcentral is "ovarian small RNA-17955". Lineage: Eukaryota; Metazoa; Arthropoda; Insecta; Lepidoptera; Bombycidae. The record is from RNAcentral.
GUGUGCUGCAUGAAGUGAGACGACGAUU